This is a long non-coding RNA of Anopheles merus, 784 nucleotides long. RefSeq lists it as uncharacterized. Lineage: Eukaryota; Metazoa; Arthropoda; Insecta; Diptera; Culicidae. The transcript has 3 exons. The record is from RefSeq and is a predicted model, not a curated record.
GGCUGAUGGGAUUCAGCUGGUUUUCCUGGAUCUUCUGUGAAUGCCUUGUUCCACGGACCGGUCGUCGAUGCACUCGAGGUGCACCGCAUUGACGAGCGGCAGUAGCAGGAUGCAAUCGGCGCGGCCGAGCUGGCAGCGAAGCCGGUUCUCGGUGAGCCAUUCACGCCGAAUGAGGGCGGUCAAGAGCCGGCUGCAUACGUUCGAUAUAUUCGCUACGCGCACGAUCAAACUGUGUAACGAUGCCGAGUGUGUCCGGCCAUCGCGACUAGGAAGUUAAGUUGCGUCGUCUAUUGUGACACCUUUUCAUCAACAACUGGCAUGACUAUCGGCGCACGGUCGGUGGCUCUAGCGAAGGGGAGGGUGCGUUCCAAUCGGCUGGCAGGACACAGAUCGGAUCGGUUAGGACAACGAUCGGCAUAGUACGGCUCGCGACCCGCAUGUGGCUAUUUGUUGACUAGUUGCCUCUUCAAGUGCAAAUCUACGAACAUGUUUAGAAGAUUUGGCUCUUUCGGUCGCAACGUUUGCGGAGUCGCUGGGGAUAUUGGAUUGUAAGGAAUGAAUAUACUGUCCGCAGGAACCAGAUGAUGACAUCACCAAGGAGCUAAUGCGCUAAAGCUUAUCAGGAGGAGGCGAGAAUGGUUUGAUGUUUUGGCACAGCUCCCACGUAUCAUCCAUACCACACCAAAUCAUUAUGGCGCAGCCGUGAAUAUGUACAACGUCAUCCUGCUCGGGUAGGAUGGUGACGGUCUCCCGCUCGGUAUAUCUUGACGGCAGUAUAACGCAA